AGAGUUUGAUCAUGGCUCAGAAUCAACGCUGGCGGCGCGCUUAACACAUGCAAGUCGCACGAGAAAGUCCGCAAGGAUGAGUAAAGUGGCGUACGGGUGAGUAACACGUGGAUCAUCUACCUUUUAGUGGGGAAUACCCCCGGGAAACUGGGGACAAUACCGCAUAAGCUCGUAAGAGGAAAGCAGCAAUGCGCUGAAAGAGGAGUCCGCGGCUGAUUAGCUAGUUGGUGAGGUAACGGCCCACCAAGGCGAAGAUCGGUAGCCGGCCUGAGAGGGCACACGGCCACACUGGCACUGAAACACGGGCCAGACUCCUACGGGAGGCAGCAGUGGGGAAUCUUGCACAAUGGAGGAAACUCUGAUGCAGCGACGCCGCGUGAGUGAUGAAGCCCCUCGGGGUGUAAAGCUCUUUCGACGGGAAAGAUAAUGACGGUACCCGAAGAAGAAGCUGCGGCUAACUACGUGCCAGCAGCCGCGGUAAUACGUAGGCAGCAAGCGUUGUUCGGAAUUACUGGGCGUAAAGAGUGUGUAGGCGGUGCUCUAAGUCUGUCGUGAAAUCUCCCGGCUUAACUGGGAGGGUGCGGCGGAAACUAGUGUGCUAGAGGGUGGGAGAGGUAAGCGGAAUUCCUGGUGUAGCGGUGAAAUGCGUAGAUAUCAGGAGGAACACCUGGUGUAGACAGCUUACUGGACCACUUCUGACGCUGAGACACGAAAGCGUGGGUAGCAAACAGGAUUAGAUACCCUAGUAGUCC
RNAcentral lists this ribosomal RNA (752 nucleotides) under uncultured bacterium. RNAcentral's name for it is "bacterial SSU rRNA". It matches the Rfam family "Bacterial small subunit ribosomal RNA", at positions 8 to 796 of the family's 1533-position model. The record is from RNAcentral.